Molecule: long non-coding RNA, 2867 nt
Organism: Triticum aestivum (bread wheat)
Lineage: Eukaryota; Viridiplantae; Streptophyta; Magnoliopsida; Poales; Poaceae
Exons: 2
Source: RefSeq, a predicted model, not a curated record
UCUCAUCGUCCACCUGCUUCGUCCUUAUUUCCAAGUACUUCUCCAUCAUUGCAGCCACAUCACCAUUCGCCCCCCUCCUUCUCUUUGGUUCUUUCUCUUCUCCAUUUCUUGAGGGUGCAGUAGCCAAAUUUGGUUGAGUUUGCUCGGGCUCCACAACAAUGUUUUCUUGCACGUAAACCUCCUCAACAUCUUCAUUGAUCUGCACCCUUUCUCCUCCAAGAUUCUCACCAUCAGCUGAUGUUUCUCCUUGAUUCUUGCCAGCUCCUCCAAGAUUCUCGAGAUCUGAUUGGGUUGAGCAAUGUGAUGACUCGAUAGAGGUGAAGUUAUAUGUCCCUUAUGCAGUUUGGCCUACAAGUUAAAGUGACAAUCAAAUAUAAGAUUUCAAACUAGAAGAGUAAACAAACAUAAAACAAUGACAUGAGUAUAUGAAUGAAGUUGAUAACUAACCAUCAUGCAAUUCUCCCAAAGCUUCAAAAAGAGGGAAGCCUUUUGUCUUGAACUUUCCAGCUUUAGGGUGUGACUACAUAGUUGACAAGAAAAUGAUAUUAGAGCAUGCAAAAAGUAAUGAAACUUUUAGGGAAUAACAAUGACAUUCUUACUAUGAUGAUGUCUUUCCAAAGUGGUGGAUCCGCUAGAAUCCUGCACUGUCGGUCGUCCCAUGAAACGCUGCUUUGCUUCCUUAUCUCUUUGAUCAUCUUGUAUUCUCUUUUCAACUCUUUUUCCUUUUCUUGGAUUUUCUUAUUCUCGUACCUAGCAUAAGGAUUCUUUUGGUGGAAUUUCUUCACUAUCGUAUUCCAUGCUUCUGAGCUCCAUCCAUUUUGACCCUUAUGUUCAGGUGUAUCAUGCUCACGAAGCAAGUCCACAAGAUCUUUCUCAAGGCUUGCAUUCCACUGUGCUCUAUCUUCUGCAUUUCCACAUUAUCGGAUGAUGUCAUGUAAGAUUGCCACCGCUGCUGGUAGCUUGACUUGGUUCUCUAUUCGAUGAUGCGUGCCCACUUUUAGGAUUGGGAACCGCUUCUUCAAGAUUCCUAAUCCCCGUUCGACGUGAUUUCGUAACACGGCAUGCCGGAGAUUGAAUAGCUCCCUGUGAUUUUGGGGUCGACGGCGACCGCGUGCAAACUCCUUCAGAUGGUACCGAACACCACGAUACGGUGCCAAGAAGUAAGGUGUGUUGGCAUAACCACCAUCAACCAGAUAAAACUUGCCCGGAGGUACAUGAAACCCACUAUUAAGUGGUGACCGGAGAACUUUAGCAUCGGUAGCAGAUCCCUCCCAGCCACAAGAAAUGAAGGUGAAGUUCAGGUCGAAGUCGCACACGACCAUAACAUUAUGGCUUAGGGUCCCUUUCCUAUUUCUGAAUGGUGCGGCUUUUUCUCCUGAAAUUGUUAUGGGAACAUGUGUCCCAUCAAUUGCCCCAAUGCAGUUCUGCAACGAAAUACUAUAACUUAGCACCUAUAACAUGAAGAGUAAGUUAUCGAUGUGGAUCAAAGUUGGCGAAGCAAAAACCUGAAAAUAAGGAAAGAAUCUCGUGUCCGACUGAAUCUUCGGAUGCACUUGACUGGGAUUUGGAGGCUUCAAAAAAUGCUUGGAGAGAAUAGGGAUGAUGUCAAAGAAAUUCUUCAUUUGCGAAUGGAAAGUAUCCCCGCUGUGACCAAACCGAACUUGAAGGUCUUCAAAUGAAGAAUUAUGGGAUAACAUCCACAGAAAUGAUGCUAGUUUCUCUUCGACUUUAAUUCUGGUAUCUUUCACCAACUUCUCCCUUCGAAGAUAAUUAGCCAAAGAUUUGAAGAUACGCGGCUCCAUCCUAAAUGCUACCCGACAGUUUUUGACAUGCCCUUCGAGUAACUCCUUAACAAACAUCUCGCCUGUUAGCGAUGAUGUAUGACGCGGAAUCCUCCGCUCCCUAAGAGCAACUCCAUCGGUCUCUAUCAAAUGUAGUGUAGGGAAAACAAAUAACAUCAUUUUGUCAUCCUCCUCCUCCCUCUUCCUAACACGAUCCCUCAUUUCAGGAUCCAUUCCAAGUCUAAAGAAGAAAAAUGUGGCUAGUUAUUACUACUACACCAAAACAGUAAGAGUGCAAGUUGUACAAACAAACAGUUUACCAAAAAAACAACUGCAAUAAGAGCUAAAAUUCUUCAACAACUACAAUGUCUAGUAAUGUAAGAUAUUAAUGUAGCUCUCAGCUUACCAAAAAAACACUUUGUAACACAGAUCUAUCGACCAAGCAAUAAUAACCAACAAUACAUGAAUAAGGAGAAGAUUAAAACAAGAGGAUUAAUCUACCUUGUCCUUCACGAUGCUGCCCAAUUCAGGGUCUUGCUGUAGCUGUGAGGCGGUGAAGCUAGCUUAUAUCUGGCAUCAUCAAAAUAUCUGGCAUUGGAACAUCAUCUAAUAAAAAGGACAACACUAGAAAAAAGGACAACUGCAAUGUGUACCAAUGAAGAACAGAUGAUGAUCACACACCAUGAAGAGAACAAUUAUAUAAUCUACCAAUGAUCAUACCCGAAGUAUCUUUUGUUCGGACAUAAAAAAUCUUUGGAAGUAUGUGCUCUGCUGCUAACAGAGAUUAGGUUCACAUACUUCAUUUUGGGACGAACAUCAUACUGUACUAUCAGCAGCCAGCAACAAAAACAACAUGCAUUGUUGUUCCUCCAGAUUAGAUAGUCCUUCUUUAUACCAAGAGAUACACUAACAAUUAUACUACUACUACAAUAGUUAUGUUGAGAAAAAUAAAACAAAUCCAAAUUACUAACACCAAAUCGUACUGCUGACUCCAUUUACUAACACAAAAUUGUACUGCUGACUCCAGUACAAAUUACUAACAACGGGAAGACAGAUCUUGACGACCACAUUCGGGAAGACAAAUCA